CCUACGGGAGGCAGCAGUGGGGGAUAUUGCACAAUGGGGGAAACCCUGAUGCAGCGACGCCGCGUGUGGGAAGACGGUCCUCUGGAUUGUAAACCACUGUCCCCAGGGACGAAGAUGACGGUACCUGGGGAGUAAGCUCCGGCUAACUACGUGCCAGCAGCCGCGGUAAUACGUAGGGCGCGAGCGUUGUCCGGAAUUACUGGGUGAAAAGGGAGCGUAGGCGGGACUGCAAGUUGGGUGUCAAAUCUACCGGCUCAACCGGUAGCCGCACUCCAAACUGCAGUUCUUGAGUGAAGUAGAGGCAGGCGGAAUUCCUAGUGUAGCGGUGAAAUGCGUAGAUAUUAGGAGGAACACCAGUGGCGAAGGCGGCCUGCUGGGCUUUUACUGACGCUGAGGCGCGAAAGUGUGGGGAGCAAACAGGAUUAGAUACCCGUGUAGUC
Molecule: ribosomal RNA, 440 nt
Filed under: uncultured bacterium
Lineage: Bacteria
Description: partial 16S ribosomal RNA
Rfam family: Bacterial small subunit ribosomal RNA
Source: RNAcentral